This 86-nucleotide transfer RNA is filed under the name Pelodiscus sinensis (Chinese soft-shelled turtle). It matches the Rfam family "tRNA". Rfam says of the family: Transfer RNA (tRNA) molecules are approximately 80 nucleotides in length. Their secondary structure includes four short double-helical elements and three loops (D, anti-codon, and T loops). The record is from Rfam by way of RNAcentral. Lineage: Eukaryota; Metazoa; Chordata; Testudines; Trionychidae.
CCUUUGAUAGCUCAGCUGGCAGAGUGGAGGACUGUAGUGUGUGGCAAGUGAUCCUUAGGUUGCUGGUUCAACUCUGGCUCAAAGGA